RNAcentral lists this ribosomal RNA (492 nucleotides) under uncultured bacterium. Its description in RNAcentral is "partial 16S ribosomal RNA". It matches the Rfam family "Bacterial small subunit ribosomal RNA", at positions 29 to 507 of the family's 1533-position model. The record is from RNAcentral.
AGUGAACGCUGGCGGUAGGCCUAACACAUGCAAGUCGAACGGCCGCACAGUAAGAGCUUGCUCUUACGGGUAGCGAGUGACGGACGGGUGAGGAAUACAUAGGAAUCUAAUUUUUCGUGGGGGACAACGUAGGGAAACAUACGCUACUACCGCAUACGACCUACGGGUUAAAGCAAGGGAGCUUCGGACCUUGCGCGAUUGAAUGAGACGAUGUCGGAUUAGCUUGUUGGCGGGGUAAAGGCCCACCAAGGCGACGAUCCGUAGCUGGUCUGAGAGGAUGAUCAGCCACACUGGAACUGAGACACGGUCCAGACUCCUACGGGAGGCAGCAGUGGGGAAUAUUGGACAAUGGGCGCAAGCCUGAUCCAGCCAUACCGCGUGGGUGAAGAAGGCCUUCGGGUUGUAAAGCCCUUUUGUUGGGAAAGAAAAGCAGCAGGUUAAUACCCCGCUGUUCUGACGGUACCCAAAGAAUAAGCACCGGCUAACUUCGUG